This is a small nuclear RNA of Camelus dromedarius (Arabian camel), 107 nucleotides long. The record is from Ensembl. Lineage: Eukaryota; Metazoa; Chordata; Mammalia; Artiodactyla; Camelidae.
GCACUCGCUUCGACAGUACAGAUACUAAAACUGGAAUGAUACAGAGAAGAUUAGCACGGCCCCAGCACAAGGAUGACAUGCAAAUUCAUGAAGCGUUCCAUUUUUUU